This 253-nucleotide ribosomal RNA is filed under the name uncultured bacterium. RNAcentral describes it as "partial 16S ribosomal RNA". It matches the Rfam family "Bacterial small subunit ribosomal RNA", at positions 524 to 776 of the family's 1533-position model. The record is from RNAcentral.
UACGGAGGGAGCUAGCGUUGUUCGGAAUUACUGGGCGUAAAGCGCACGUAGGCGGCUUUUUAAGUCAGGGGUGAAAUCCCGGGGCUCAACCCCGGAACUGCCCUUGAAACUGGGAAGCUAGAAUCCUGGAGAGGCGAGUGGAAUUCCGAGUGUAGAGGUGAAAUUCGUAGAUAUUCGGAAGAACGCCAGUGGCGAAGGCGACUCGCUGGACAAGUAUUGACGCUGAGGUGCGAAAGCGUGGGGAGCAAACAGG